AAUUCUUUAUGCAAGUUAGAAAUGAGGCAGCCAAUGAUUUGCUGACGUGGGAAUUAUUUGUAAAUAUCAUGAAUUUCGUGAUAUAUUCAUGGAGCACUCCUGAAUCAGCAAAUUAUUUGCUGAAUUGUUCAGAAAAGCUGCCAGCCAUGAAUUAUUCAGCAUUUUUUUUCCUAAGAAGUUCCACAAAUUUUGUGAUUAUGGUUUGAACUUUGAAGCAUGUACAUGAAUACAUGCAAAAAGACUUUUGUACAUAAUGGUGAUCCUAAUUGGAAAAAGUCUUUUGCUUUAUGUUUCUGAUGAAUUACAUAUAAUUUCCUAAUUGGAGAAAGUCUUUUGCUUUACAUAUAAUUGAAUCAUCAACCAACCAAAACAACGAAUGAAUCAGCAAGAAUAAUUAGGGCUGCCAAGUAGCACUCAAGAAGCACAAAAAUGUUUGAAAUAUGUAUCAUUUUGAUAUAGGAGAAUCACCAAAUUCAAUGUGGACCACUUUGGUCACUACAAGCAAGGCUAGAUAGGGUUCAGGA
This 524-nucleotide long non-coding RNA is filed under the name Phoenix dactylifera (date palm). RNAcentral's name for it is "long non-coding RNA (PDAC_LNC022435)". Lineage: Eukaryota; Viridiplantae; Streptophyta; Magnoliopsida; Arecales; Arecaceae. The record is from RNAcentral.